RNAcentral lists this ribosomal RNA (471 nucleotides) under Triticum aestivum (bread wheat). RNAcentral describes it as "partial small subunit ribosomal RNA". Lineage: Eukaryota; Viridiplantae; Streptophyta; Magnoliopsida; Poales; Poaceae. The record is from RNAcentral.
CGGAGAACUUUUACUUAAAUUCUGAAUGCAGUUAUGGUCGUUGCGUUGCUGGUGCUGGUGCCCGAGGGAAUGAUGCUAGUGACGGGUGUCAAGUCACCGGCGAUGGCGGUUUUGUCGGAAAGUAUGGAGCCUGCAAUUAAAAAGGGCGAUAUGGUGUUUGUGCACAACAUGAGCAAUCAACCUUUCCGCGAAGGAGAGGUUGUUCUUUUCAAAGUUGAUGGUUUUGAACAUCCAAUUGUCCAUCGUGUGAUCAAGGUUUACGAGCAUCGAGAUAUUGGAGAAAUCUGAAUACUCACCAAAGGAGACAACAAUUCAGUGGAUGACCGAUUUCUCUAUGCGAGCGGGCAGCUUUGGCUUCAACCGCAUGACAUUAUUGGACGGGUUGCAGGCUAUCUGCCGUAUGCUGGAUGGCCUAGUGUCUUCAUCAGUGAAGCUUAUAAGGUACGCAAGCACACAUUAUAUUCUGGUUAA